RNAcentral lists this non-coding RNA (45 nucleotides) under Schistosoma mansoni. The record is from RNAcentral. Lineage: Eukaryota; Metazoa; Platyhelminthes; Trematoda; Strigeidida; Schistosomatidae.
AUCCAGCUGACGAGUCCCUAAUAGGACGAAACGUGCGUCCCGGAU